AAUGCCUGAUUUUAAAUCACUCUAGGAUAUCCCUGACUAACCCUCUUUUUUCAGUCUCCAUAGAAGCAUCUUUAAGGCACCAGGGACUUCCCAAAUCAUUACAUGCAUUGGAGAAUCUGAUGUUCUAUUCAGCUUCAUCAAAAUCCUGAGGAACUUUCCCUCCUUUGGAUAGAACACCUCAGGAUGUAGAGAAGAUAUCAGUUAAUAUUUGUUGAAUUGCUUCUCGCAAAACAAUGCCUUGGACAAACUUCCAACUAAAUUUAGGGAUGAAUUAGUAAAUGAGACUCCAAUGCUUUCGAAGUUUAAUAUCAAUCAUUUUCAGUAAUUUUUGGAAAUCCGUGACUUCUCUAAUUCCUCCCUAAAUUUCAAGAUCACACCUGUACAGGAAG
RNAcentral lists this long non-coding RNA (389 nucleotides) under Ornithorhynchus anatinus (platypus). Its description in RNAcentral is "lncRNA (ENSOANG00000039375.1)". Lineage: Eukaryota; Metazoa; Chordata; Mammalia; Monotremata; Ornithorhynchidae. The record is from RNAcentral.